UGGGGAAUAUUGGACAAUGGGCGAAAGCCUGAUCCAGCCAUGCCGCGUGUGUGAAGAAGGUCUUCGGAUUGUAAAGCACUUUAAGUUGGGAGGAAGGGCAUUAACCUAAUACGUUAGUGUUUUGACGUUACCGACAGAAUAAGCACCGGCUAACUCUGUGCCAGCAGCCGCGGUAAUAAAGAGGGUGCAAGCGUUAAUCGGAAUUAAUGGGCGUAAAGCGCGCGUAGGUGGUUUGUUAAGUUGGAUGUGAAAUCCCCGGGCUCAACCUGGGAACUGCAUUCAAAACUGACUGACUAGAGUAUGGUAGAGGGUGGUGGAAUUUCCUGUGUAGCGGUGAAAUGCGUAGAUAUAGGAAGGAACACCAGUGGCGAAGGCGACCACCUGGACUAAUACUGACACUGAGGUGCGAAAGCGUGGGGAGCAAACA
RNAcentral lists this ribosomal RNA (427 nucleotides) under uncultured bacterium. Its description in RNAcentral is "partial 16S ribosomal RNA". It matches the Rfam family "Bacterial small subunit ribosomal RNA", at positions 355 to 774 of the family's 1533-position model. The record is from RNAcentral.